UUUAUGGAGAGUUUGAUCCUGGCUCAGGAUGAACGCUGGCGGCGUGCCUAAUACAUGCAAGUCGAGCGAACGGACGAGAAGCUUGCUUCUCUGAUGUUAGCGGCGGACGGGUGAGUAACACGUGGAUAACCUACCUAUAAGACUGGGAUAACUUCGGGAAACCGGAGCUAAUACCGGAUAAUAUUUUGAACCGCAUGGUUCAAAAGUGAAAGACGGUCUUGCUGUCACUUAUAGAUGGAUCCGCGCUGCAUUAGCUAGUUGGUAAGGUAACGGCUUACCAAGGCAACGAUGCAUAGCCGACCUGAGAGGGUGAUCGGCCACACUGGAACUGAGACACGGUCCAGACUCCUACGGGAGGCAGCAGUAGGGAAUCUUCCGCAAUGGGCGAAAGCCUGACGGAGCAACGCCGCGUGAGUGAUGAAGGUCUUCGGAUCGUAAAACUCUGUUAUUAGGGAAGAACAUAUGUGUAAGUAACUGUGCACAUCUUGACGGUACCUAAUCAGAAAGCCACGGCUAACUACGUGCCAGCAGCCGCGGUAAUACGUAGGUGGCAAGCGUUAUCCGGAAUUAUUGGGCGUAAAGCGCGCGUAGGCGGUUUUUUAAGUCUGAUGUGAAAGCCCACGGCUCAACCGUGGAGGGUCAUUGGAAACUGGAAAACUUGAGUGCAGAAGAGGAAAGUGGAAUUCCAUGUGUA
This 694-nucleotide ribosomal RNA is filed under the name Staphylococcus aureus. Its description in RNAcentral is "bacterial SSU rRNA". It matches the Rfam family "Bacterial small subunit ribosomal RNA", at positions 1 to 677 of the family's 1533-position model. Lineage: Bacteria; Bacillati; Bacillota; Bacilli; Caryophanales; Staphylococcaceae. The record is from RNAcentral.